Molecule: small nuclear RNA, 103 nt
Filed under: Propithecus coquereli (Coquerel's sifaka)
Lineage: Eukaryota; Metazoa; Chordata; Mammalia; Primates; Indriidae
Source: RNAcentral
GAGCUUCAGCAGCAAAUAUACUAAAAUUGGAACAAUAUGGAGAAAAUUAGCAUGGCCCCUGUCGAAGAAUGACAUGCAAAUUUGUGAAAUGUUCCAUUUUUCA